Diceros bicornis minor is the source of this 4377-nucleotide RNA transcript. It is a transcript of the gene named ral guanine nucleotide dissociation stimulator-like, with no coding region annotated. NCBI's taxonomy places the organism in Eukaryota, Metazoa, Chordata, Mammalia, Perissodactyla, Rhinocerotidae. The record is from RefSeq and is a predicted model, not a curated record. The transcript is spliced from 10 exons.
CAGCCCGGGUUCAGGGGGCAGCUCUGGAGAAAUCUGAUUGAGGUAAGGGGUCCAGGUAUAGGAAUCUUGAAAAAUGACCCCAUCUCCUUGGUCCUAGGCCUCAACAGAUCUUUGAACUCUGGUAACAAGGCACCCACAGUCCCCCAUCCAGCUCACUUGACGGGAGACAGUCAAGAGGCAGAAAUGUUUUGUUGUUGUAUCCCAACUUUUGCAGGAUCUGGGCUCAAAAAAGCCCAGAAAUAGAAUCUUUUUGAUUGUUGCCUACAUUGGCUCAGCCCUCAUCCCUGACACCUCUGGGUGUCUGACAGGAGGCAGUGAAGGGUAACAUGGGCAGCCCAGGAAAGGUUAGUGCAGAUCAGGACACAACGGUGAUCCCACCUGAUCAACCCCAAAAUCCAGGCCCCUCAUCGUGUGUUUGUGUGUGUUUGUGUGUCUGUGUGGUGUGGGGAAGGCAGGGUAUGUGGGGCAGGCCAUUCCUGGGCAGGAGCUGGUUGUUAGGUGUCGGAAGCCUGUGGGUCUGUGACGUUCGUACCCAGGUCAUGGCUGGCAGCAUGAGAAGGUGAGCUGCUCAACUCGUAUGUUAUUGAGCCCUAGAGGUUUCAUCUCCUUCCCUUCCUGACCAGAGUUCUUUGCCAGGAUGCCCUCUGUGCCUGAACUGAGGAGCAGACUUUCUCUUGGGGGUUGACCACAGUGGCAGUGUGCAGGCAGCCCCUGAUUCCCUCUGGCCCAGCUCCCAGGCAGUCUUUGCAGAACUCCACUCAGGAGGUCAUCGAGUAGCUGCCCAAUGGUUUCAACUCCACCAACUCACUAGACAAGGGGCAGGUGCAUGAGGCCACCCACACCAUCCAGUGCUGCUCUGAGAUGAGAGCAGGAGCAGAGGGCCUCCACACUCAGGACCUUGAGAUGAUGGGGUUGGACCAGAACUAGGGUGGGACCAGUCAGGGGCUGUCUCUUUUUCAAGCUAAAGGGGAUGUACAUGCAGGUAACCUUGCCUGGUUCAGAGCUGAGCUGCUGUGACCCUCUUUCCUUUGACUGGUGUGAGCUUCUGGAGGCCAAUGAGGCAGAGCCAGAGGGUAAGGGGGACUGCAGGCUGGCUAUUCCUGGAAAGGAAGUGGGAUCUUUCCUGUAUUUAGAAGGACACAUGGAAAGUCAGCUAUGUGAGUGAACCUUUCUCUUUAUCCCGCUCCAGUGCCAGUUGCAGAGCUCCAGCCAGCAGCAGAAGCAGAGCAGUGGGCAGUGGUGGAGGUAGAGCUGGCUCCAGCUUCCUUGACACCACCCUCUCUAGCACUGGAGCCAGUGUCCCCUCCACCAGCAGUGUUGGAGCUGGAGCAAGGGCCGACAUCGGCUGCAGCAGGAGUGGAAGCUGCUGAGCUGGAGUCACCUGGACCAUCAUUUCUAGUGGGAAGUCCAUCUCCACCUGUGGCUAAGAAGCAUGAGAAGAAGCCCAACCUACGGCCUUCCCUCCUAAGCUGGUGGUGGAGCAGUUGACCGUGAUGGAUGCGACUGUAGAGGUGGACACUAACAGGACCUGCUGCACAGAGUGGCUGUGCCGGCUCCAUGAGGUAGAAGAGACGGAAGGGAGUGCGAGAUCCUGAAGAACUUCUCCUCGCCCCGCACUGUCAUCUCUUCUCUGCAGAAAACAUCCAUAUGCCACCUGAAGAACACAUGGAGGAAGUUUCCUGGGAGAGCUCUGAAAAAUUUAAAGAGAGCUAUAGCCAAGACGAGUCCUUGAACAGAGAACUGAUGACCAAGGUUAACAAGCAGAGGGAUCUGUUCUGCCCAUGGGCAGGUGGGGUGCCAUUUGUGGGCAGGAGGCCUUGGUCAUGGGACACAGUGGUGUUGGCUGGGCUGUUCCAGGACGAGUUGCCGAGCUGGCGCCAUCAGCAGGUCUCUGGCUUCCACUCACGUCCAUCCUGCUGGAUGUAGCUUCUUCCAGGCUGUUGGGUGGUUGGGUGGGUUUAUCCCUCAGCCUAAACCUGUCCUCAGGAAGCCAGGCCCCUGCUGCUCCUUCUAUCUUCACCAUGUCUCCAAGGGGAGGGCACACUGCCUACCCCAGGGACGGGCACAACAGGGGAUUCCCCUGGCACAGGAGGACAAACAGGCUGCUCAUCCUUGGAUCUGAACAACUGACCAGAGACAGAUGUGUGUGCAUUGUGGGACUCCCCACUGGACCCCUAGAGCAGUCACUUGAGUCAACCACAGGAGUCUCACCUGAGUGCCUGGUUGGCAAUGAUAUAGGCCCCAGGUGGCUUAUGAGUAGCGUCUAGGCAACUGAUGGAUUCUUAGUGGAUCCUGCUGAAAGGACGUUAAGAGCUUCAUGUAAACGGGGAAGCAAAGCAUCCUGUCACCCCCUUCCCUGUUGAUCAGAGGUGGCACCUUGUGGGUCCAGUUCCUGAGUGGAUAAAGAAAGAGUUCAGUGCAGGCGAAUAUCCUGAGUUGUUCUUUGGGGAGGAGAAGGGUUUGGCAUUGCCUUUGUCCGGCAUGGGGGAGAGACACUCCAGGGGACUGGGGCAGGCAGGAGCCACUCAACAACCAGACUCCCAAGACACCCCAUCCUCUCGAUCCACGGCUCGGCCCAGGGCCAAGCUUUGAGAGCUCAGGGGACAAGACUGUUGUCAGUGGUGGGGCUGGGGGUUAGGCAAGGAUGUUGGAACAGGGCCUCUGGCUGAGAGGGGCAAGCGGCCUCUCCUCUGUUGGCCCCUCAGCAACUCACUGCCCCUGUUUGGUCCUCUGUCUCCCCAUCAGGGAAAUGGAGGUAUGGUGAUUGUGUGGUGAUUGUGUGGUGCAGGCCUCACAGGGUGGUAAUGAGGAGGGGCCCUCCACGUUUGCCCCCCGGAGGGCAACCCCCAGAGAGUGCAGGAGAAGCAGCAGCAGCAGCAGGGGAAUGAGAUCAACCUUGAGAAGAGGACUGAGGAGCAGCUGUGGCACUCCUUGCAGGGGAGGGGAAGGAGGUGGAAAUCAGAGACCCUCUGGGGAGAACAGUUUCUGGCUCCACCCCUUGUAUCUUACAUUGAGUGGAAGAUUUUGGUAGAAGUCGAGACCCAUCCAGUUGGCGCGUGGGUUGAAGGGAGGAUGGCAUCAAGGAAAACUUCUUGGAGGAGGGGCUGAUUAUUCCCAUUCUGAGAACAGGUAGAGCCUGGAUGGAACUGGAGGGAAGGAGCGUUCCCAGGACUGGUCCCCUGCCCCACUCCUCACCCCCCACAAGGCCCCUGCAACAUCCCCCAACCAGGCCCUGUCUGCAUCCUCUCCUUCCCUCUGGUCCCAAGAACACCGAGUCAUGAGGGAGAUCCUGCUGCUCCAGGUCGCUGCAAAGAAUUAUAAAAAGACCCCAAGGAGUGAUUUGGGGCCUGGUUCCAGGACAUGGAGCUGCUCAACGAGAAUGAGUCAAACACCAAGGGUAGAGGUCAUCAAAAGAUCAAGUCUAAUCUACAUACGGGUGUGGCAGCCUUAACUAUGGAUGUUCAAGCCAGACAUUGCCAGAAGAACUACAUCUCUUCACCCAUAGAAGAUGCAACCUACAGCUGAAGAGAAACAGAUACAACACCAAUAUCUUAUCCUCUCUGAAGCCAAACUGAGAGCCCCUGGAGUGAGAAGUUUCCAAGAAAAGAAAAAGUCAUCCAUCUUCGGAAGAGAGACAGUAGAGCACGGACUGUAGGAGAAAGCCCAGAGGAGCAAUGAAGACAAAGAAGACAUGACACCUGCAAAAAGUCAGUGGAGUAUUUCUACGUAACAAACCUUCCAGGUGAGUGACGGUCAGUAUCUUCCACUGAUCCAGCUCUCACAAUAAACCUAGAACAUGCCCAAGGUAAGCUGGAGGACUACGCCCCACUAGUCCAUUCCCUGCCCAGGGCCUGUUUGUGCAGGGUGACUGCCAUCAAGCAGACAAUGGACUCAGGAUGGAGCAUGUGCCUUUGGGGAGGCUGGUAGAGAGGGACAAAGUGGAACACCAGCUAAGUGCACACACCUGAGAGGUGGAGUUCCAGGAGGAGACUCAAAAUGUACCAAGAAACUGCGUGAAGGGAGCUACUCGACCUCUCUGAGCCUCAGUGUCCCCCCCUGUAAAAUGGGGAUGACAGGCCUACUUCACAGACCUGUUGGGGAAGAUACAUAAAAGUGCCUGUGACAGCCAGUGUCCAUAUUAUUAACAAAGCCGUCUCCGACUUCAGAAUAAUCAAUGAAAAGAAUAAUGUUGAUGAGACCAAAGACGAGAUGCUCAGCUUCAUAACAGCCCCAGCAGCAUGAGAGUGAGAGGAGCUCCGAGUAAGCAAGGUUCUUCACAGCUCCACUAGAGAGGAUGAACAUGGGCUACACCAGGAUAAGUGGCUGUUGUACAGUGACUCGUGUAGUGAGGGUGGGUCCCUAAAGACACUGAAAUCC